This 463-nucleotide ribosomal RNA is filed under the name uncultured bacterium. RNAcentral describes it as "partial 16S ribosomal RNA". It matches the Rfam family "Bacterial small subunit ribosomal RNA", at positions 30 to 507 of the family's 1533-position model. The record is from RNAcentral.
CGAACGCUGGCGGCGUGCUUAACACAUGCAAGUCGAACGGAAAGGCCCUGCUUGCAGGGUACUCGAGUGGCGAACGGGUGAGUAACACGUGGGUGAUCCGCCCUGCACUUCGGGAUAAGCCUGGGAAACUGGGUCUAAUACCGGAUAGGAGCCAUUUUUAGUGUGAUGGUUGGAAAGUUUUUUCGGUGUAGGAUGAGCUCGCGGCCUAUCAGCUUGUUGGUGGGGUAAUGGCCUACCAAGGCGGCGACGGGUAGCCGGCCUGAGAGGGUGGACGGCCACAUUGGGACUGAGAUACGGCCCAGACUCCUACGGGAGGCAGCAGUGGGGAAUAUUGCACAAUGGGCGCAAGCCUGAUGCAGCGACGCCGCGUGGGGGAUGACGGCCUUCGGGUUGUAAACUCCUUUCGCUAGGGACGAAGCUUUUUGUGACGGUACCUAGAUAAGAAGCACCGGCUAACUACGUG